This 444-nucleotide ribosomal RNA is filed under the name uncultured bacterium. RNAcentral describes it as "partial 16S ribosomal RNA". It matches the Rfam family "Bacterial small subunit ribosomal RNA", at positions 331 to 792 of the family's 1533-position model. The record is from RNAcentral.
CCAGACUCCUACGGGAGGCAGCAGUGGGGAAUAUUGCACAAUGGGGGGAACCCUGAUGCAGCGACGCCGCGUGGGUGAAGGAGCACCUCGGUGCGUAAAGCCCUAUCGGCAGGGAAGAAACAGACGGUACCUGACUAAGAAGCCCCGGCUAACUACGUGCCAGCAGCCGCGGUAAUACGUAGGGGGCAAGCGUUAUCCGGAUUUACUGGGUGUAAAGGGGGCGCAGACGGCAGCGCAAGCCAGGAGUGAAAGCCCGGGGCCCAACCCCGGGACUGCUCUUGGAACUGCGCGGCUGGAGUGCAGGAGGGGCAGGCGGAAUUCCUAGUGUAGCGGUGAAAUGCGUAGAUAUUAGGAGGAACGCCAGUGGCGAAGGCGGCUUACUGGACGGCAACUGACGCUGAGGCUCGAAAGCGUGGGGAGCAAACAGGAUUAGAUACCCCAGUA